GCUGUCAUUAGAAAAAAAAAUUGCGUCUAAUUUUUUGUAAGUGUUUUUGUUAGUGAAAGACGGUUUUUAAAAAAUGCCAAAUAAAUGCUGUGUCCCAAUGUGCACUUAUGGUUACGUAAAAAAUUGAAUUGUCUCCGAAAAAGUUGCGAUCUUCAAGACAAAAGACCAAAAAAUGCAAAAACAAUGGAUGAAAUAUAUUCCAAGAAAAAAUUAUAUAGUCACUGCUUUAAGUGGUGGGUUUGCGUCCAUCAUUUUUCAGACUCUGACAUAGACAAAGGGUAUUUCUUGAAUGUUGCAGGACAAAAAAUUUUCAAGGAACACAGGAAUUGGAAACUGAAACCGGGGGCAAUUUAAAAAAAUUUUCCUAAUUGCCCACCCUACAUGACAAAAGUCACAUACAGCAGAAUAAAGAAAAGAAAUUGUGAUAUCGAUGAAUCUGUUGAGGAACCGGGAAGGAAGGAUGCAGUCUACAGAUACACCACUUUAUGUAGCGACUACAUUGACAGAUGCUACAAUUUCCCUUGGAAAUAAGGUAAGUGGAGAUGAAGCUCAAGAUAUGCCUUUAACACCUACUCAGCAGGACAUUGAUUGGCAAACGGGAAUUAGCAAAUUGAAAUUUCCAAGUAAUUUGUCGUAUACCAAGGAAAACGACGAAUUGAAGAAACUUACCGGGCAGAGGUUGACUUAGGGAACAUCACUAAGUCUCCUUGAAAUUAUGAACAUCCUGGACUGGUUUGAGAGAUCGAUGGAAACUCUGGGUGGGCUGGUGAAGGAAAAUAAAUUCAAUCCCACCAUUUGCUGCGAUACACACCGGAAGGAACUUGUCGGAAAAUUAGUUUUAGAGUAUUUAAUCAUCAGAAAUCAUUUGGAAACUAAAAAGUGGGUUAAGGAAUUCAAUCAACAAUCAAAGUCAAAAUCACUGCGUAAACAAGCCAAAGUGAUUUCUUAGUCUCUUUUUCUUUUUUACUUUUACCGUACUGCCAUUCUUACUGACUAAUCUACAGUUGUAACUAAGAAACAAUUGAAGCAAUAAAACUUGUUCAAAAUGUGUUAAAACCUAGUUGUUUGAUUAUAAUUACCGAUA
Daphnia magna is the source of this 1084-nucleotide long non-coding RNA. RefSeq lists it as uncharacterized. The record is from RefSeq and is a predicted model, not a curated record. NCBI's taxonomy places the organism in Eukaryota, Metazoa, Arthropoda, Branchiopoda, Diplostraca, Daphniidae. The transcript is spliced from 3 exons.